GUUCUUUGUGUGAUGUGGAUGUGGUAUUGACGUUAGCUUUUAUAUUCAUAGUAAACAUCUGUUGGUUCAUGCAUGUAUAAAGCCUCGCUGUCUAACUUUGAUAUUUCUUGAUUGGCCUGACUUCGCUGCUUCUCUAUACCGAUUGACGAUGAAGGAUGUGUCGGUGGUGGUGGUAGUGGUGCUGUUGGUGACAUCAGUGGCGUGGUCUGCAUCUUUGUCUAAUAGCGUUGAAGAGCAAUGUUCACCAGCAUGUGAUGAAGGAGAGGAAUGCGUCAGGGGAGAGUGUCAAGCAGGUGGGAGAACUUGUUGCAACAAUGGCGGUGCCCCUCCGGGAAGGCGCUAAUCGACAUCCCUUACAAGACAAGCAAGACAAGCAAUACAAGCAGCAGUAACGACAGCAGCAACGACAGCAGCAAUGACAGCAGCAACGGAAGCAGCAACGGCAGCAAAAACAACACAAUCUUGUGAAGAGCUUGUCGUGCGUCUGCCCUGCUGAUAUCUGUGUCAGCAAUAAAUGGGUUCAACAUA
Molecule: long non-coding RNA, 528 nt
Organism: Haliotis rufescens (red abalone)
Lineage: Eukaryota; Metazoa; Mollusca; Gastropoda; Lepetellida; Haliotidae
Exons: 4
Source: RefSeq, a predicted model, not a curated record